Molecule: ribosomal RNA, 584 nt
Filed under: uncultured bacterium
Lineage: Bacteria
Description: bacterial SSU rRNA
Rfam family: Bacterial small subunit ribosomal RNA
Source: RNAcentral
CCUACGGGAGGCAGCAGUGGGGAAUCUUGCGCAAUGGGCGAAAGCCUGACGCAGCGACGCCGCGUGGGGGAAGAAGGCCUUAGGGUUGUAAACCUCUUUCAGGUGGGACGAAGCCACUCGGGUUAAUAGCCCAGAGGGUGACGGUACCGCCAGAAGAAGCCCCGGCUAACUACGUGCCAGCAGCCGCGGUAAUACGUAGGGGGCAAGCGUUGUCCGGAUUUAUUGGGCGUAAAGAGCGUGUAGGCGGCCAGGUAGGUGGGUUGUGAAAACUGGAGGCUCAACCUUCAGACGUCGACCCAAACCCCCUGGCUAGAGUCCGGAAGAGGAGAGUGGAAUUCCUGGUGUAGCGGUGAAAUGCGCAGAUAUCAGGAAGAACACCCGUGGCGAAGGCGGCUCUCUGGAACGGUACUGACGCUGAGACGCGAAAGCGUGGGGAGCGAACAGGAUUAGAUACCCUGGUAGUCCACGCCGUAAACGAUGGGUGCUAGGUGUGGGGGGUGUCAACUCCCUCCGUGCCGAAGCUAACGCAUUAAGCACCCGCCUGGGGAGUACGGCCGCAGGCUAAAACUCAAAGGAAUUGACGG